CCUACGGGGGGCUGCAGUGGGGAAUAUUGGACAAUGGGGGCAACCCUGAUCCAGCCAUGCCGCGUGUGUGAAGAAGGCCCUCGGGUUGUAAAGCACUUUCAGUGAGGAAGAACGCGUGGUGGUUAAUACCCAUCAGGAAAGACAUCACUCACAGAAGAAGCACCGGCUAACUCCGUGCCAGCAGCCGCGGUAAUACGGAGGGUGCGAGCGUUAAUCGGAAUUACUGGGCGUAAAGCGCGCGUAGGUGGCUUGAUAAGCCGGUUGUGAAAGCCCCGGGCUCAACCUGGGAACGGCAUCCGGAACUGUCAAGCUAGAGUGCAGGAGAGGAAGGUAGAAUUCCCGGUGUAGCGGUGAAAUGCGUAGAGAUCGGGAGGAAUACCAGUGGCGAAGGCGGCCUUCUGGACUGACACUGACACUGAGGUGCGAAAGCGUGGGUAGCAAACAGGAUUAGAUACCCUUGUAGUC
This 465-nucleotide ribosomal RNA is filed under the name Vreelandella stevensii. Its description in RNAcentral is "partial 16S ribosomal RNA". It matches the Rfam family "Bacterial small subunit ribosomal RNA", at positions 338 to 795 of the family's 1533-position model. Lineage: Bacteria; Pseudomonadati; Pseudomonadota; Gammaproteobacteria; Oceanospirillales; Halomonadaceae. The record is from RNAcentral.